RNAcentral lists this unclassified non-coding RNA (1326 nucleotides) under Octopus sinensis (East Asian common octopus). RNAcentral's name for it is "uncharacterized LOC115214310, transcript variant X2". The record is from RNAcentral. Lineage: Eukaryota; Metazoa; Mollusca; Cephalopoda; Octopoda; Octopodidae.
CGGGCUUCUUUUUAACGAGGUAAAUAUUCGGUGGGCACCGUGCAGUUGUAUGGCGCUGAAUUGCAAAUUUCAAACCGGAUUGUUUACCUUUAUGUCUUCACGAUUCAAUUAUGUCUACAUUUUUGAAAAAUAUAUAUUUCUUCACCAAGAUCUUACAGCAAGCUAGCACAGAGGAAGUAGCAACUUGGAACAAGGAUUCUUUACAAAAUGCUCUCCACUGGGCAGCUUAUUGCAAAGAGAUCUAUAAACAAGUGAUUAAAAAACCUUAUAAGGAAGUAUUCGACCAACAACUCAUAAAGCUGAAUGCAGUGCAGUCAUCCCCUUUGAUAUGUGGAGACCUUAAUCUUCAGUUUCUGGACAAAGCCACUGACAAUCUAAGACAAUUGCUGUUCUGUAAUUGUCAUCUUCCAGAGGAAUUAUUUGAGGAACUUAUUCAAAUUUCCCUGGGAGAAAAGGAAAUUAUCAUCAAGCAAUGUGCUGAGCUCAGCAGUCUCCAUGCUUCCUUGCAAAUAAUUUCCAGACUAGAAAGAGACAUUGUAAACUGCAGCUAUGACAAAUGCCGACCUAGUAAAACAGGCACACGUUUGUCAUUGGUUACUAUUGUUAAAACUGAAAUACUCUGGCAGAGACUUAUCAACCAAAUCUCUAUUAUUUCUGAUGAAGACAGGUUGGACUUGUUGGUAUUAAAAAUCAUUUCCAAUUUACCUGCUUCUAAAGAUGGUUGGGAAAUUCUUCUUUAUCUUCUAACAAAAAAAGAUGUUGACAUUAAUCCUACACUGUGGAACAUUUCCAAAGACUCAUAUUCAAAAGUGUAUCAGUUUCUUGAACAAUUUGUCCAAAACAAUAUCACGAUGUCCAAACCUCCAAGCAUAAUAUGGUCUGUAGCAGAGGAUUUAUUCUCUCAAGUGAUACUUCUCUCUUUUCCGGUGUUUUCCACCUGUUUACGCCAACUCAUUGACUGGGCAAAGCAAUUUUCACCUGUCUACCACCACCAUGACCAACGCAAUUCACUCUACACUUGGCAGCUUCAAGAAAAGGAUAGUAAUGAAAUAUCGACAUUUGCAGAUCUUUCUAAACACUUUAUGAUUCUCACGAACUGUGGAGAGCAACCCAAGAAAGCAGUACAGGCUGCAUUGGAGAGCUUACAGAACCAAACUAGCUGCAGCAUAUGGCAUGACCUUCUGACCAAAAUAUCAACAAAGGACCACAUUUAAACUUACAUGAACUAAAGUGUUGAUGUAUUUCCUUCUAACUGCACAUACAUGGAGAGGAAGGACAUUAUUUCUAAAUGGCAAUUCUAGUUUUGUGUGUAUGUAUGUAUGUAUA